RNAcentral lists this ribosomal RNA (463 nucleotides) under uncultured bacterium. RNAcentral describes it as "bacterial SSU rRNA". It matches the Rfam family "Bacterial small subunit ribosomal RNA", at positions 331 to 792 of the family's 1533-position model. The record is from RNAcentral.
CCAGACUCCUACGGGAGGCAGCAGUGAGGAAUAUUGGUCAAUGGUCGGGAGACUGAACCAGCCAAGCCGCGUGAGGGAUGAAGGUACAGAGUAUCGUAAACCCCUUUUGUCAGGGAACAAAGGCGGGGACGCGUCCCCGGAUGAGUGUACCUGAAGAAAAAGCAUCGGCUAACUCCGUGCCAGCAGCCGCGGUAAUACGGAGGAUGCGAGCGUUAUCCGGAUUUAUUGGGUUUAAAGGGUGCGCAGGCGGAGGUGCAAGUCAGCGGUCAAAUUGCGGGGCUCAACCCCGUACUGCCGUUGAAACUGGCAGUCUCGAGUUGGAGAGAAGUAUGCGGAAUGCGCGGUGUAGCGGUGAAAUGCAUAGAUAUCGCGCAGAACUCCGAUUGCGAAGGCAGCAUGCCGGCUCCACACUGACGCUGAGGCACGAAAGCGUGGGUAUCGAACAGGAUUAGAUACCCUAGUA